Non-coding RNA from Tetranychus urticae (two-spotted spider mite), 2796 nucleotides. NCBI's taxonomy places the organism in Eukaryota, Metazoa, Arthropoda, Arachnida, Trombidiformes, Tetranychidae. The record is from RefSeq and is a predicted model, not a curated record.
CGGGUCAAGGAGAAGAAAGAAAAGAAGCUUUUGGUAUACAUUAUUUGACAAUUGUAGCCCAUCGAAGAGGUUGAUUUGUUUGAUGAGUGUAAAGGCAGAGUUAUAUUUAUAAUUGGAUACACAAAAAUCACCCGCAGGGUUUUGGCAACCUUUUACUGUUAUCAUCAGUGAGCUGAGUCCAUAUUGAUUCUGAUUGAAAGUCACAGGAAUAAACACACAGUCACAAAAAAAUAGCUCAACAAUGGGAAGGAGUAAAAAAACGAGAACUUUCUUUGGUGUCUUGCCACGCGACUUUAACAAGACACACGGCUUGAUCAAGAUGGCGUGAUAUAUUAACAUAUCAAACCGAAGAAACAUGAAAAUCCAAAGUAAAAUAAUAAUCGUAAAGAUAAUCGUGGCUAUACAAGUCAGAUUAGACUUAUACUUGUAAGUUUGGUUUCAUCACUUGACUUCAUGAUCAAUGGACUUCAACAAUAGGCUGCUUUGUGUAUAAUAAAAAGAAAUGAAUAUCAAAUGAUGGACAGCCAUUAUUUGGAAAUAAGUACAAUUACUCGGUUUCAUAGUUUAAAUUAAUUAUCAAUAAAAAGGAUUAAUUGAAUAUCUUGCAAACAGUUUCCCAUUAACCAAUUUGAACAAGGCUCAGUAACCAAUUCAUUUACCGCUAGAUGGGUCAACAGUCUAUUGUUUUAAGUGUUUUUUUUCUCGGUAAUUUUUUUGUUUUUAUUUAAUUUAAUUUAAUUAAGAUCGAAGUAUCUUCAUUUUAUUGUGAAUCAGGUAAAAUAUGAAUAAUCUGUGUUUCCAGGAAUUGCAUCCAAUAGUCAAGUUUUUCCAUUUCUUCUGUGAUAAGGUAACUGAAGCUGUACAACAAUAACAAUAAGAAUAUUUUAAAAUGUUUAACCGAUGAGCUAAAAAAUUAGGAAAAUCAAAAAGGUCUACUAAAGUAAAUAAAAUAAAAUAGUAAAUUAAAUGUUAUUACAUGUAAUCAAGUAACCCAUGGAUGGUCCACAAUUGGAAAUUAUUGUCUCUCAAUCAUUAAAUCUACCUGACCAAGUGAUAUAACAUGUUAUCAUAAUACACAUCUUUGGAUCUUGGAAGUCAUCCUCUCCUGAACUUGAUUAAACUUCAUUUCUGAUUGAAGACCCAGAAUCUAAGGUAAAAUGAUGUACCGAAAAAUAUGAGAUGGAAAUAAUUAUCCUGAAAGAGUCUAUUCUUGAUUUCGAUUAGAAUCUAUGUUCAAUUUAAUUUUUCUUGAAUAAUUCUUUCUAAUAACUGUAACUCUAAAUCCAAGCAAUGUCCUUAUUAGCUUUUGGUAACCAUCAGCUGAAGCAGUUUGUUUUUUCUUCUUGCUCUUUUAUAUUGUUUGAUUUAUCUCAUUAUUAAUUCAAUUUAAAAUUAGUGUUAAUUUCCCUAUCAUCAUCUUGAUCAUAAUUUAUUGGGCAAGUUAUCUUCAUCCAUUAAUGUAUUCCAUUGUUUGGUGAAAAUUUUCAUAAUUCCUGAGGAUUAGCAAAGUUGAUCUCAUUUAAAAAAAGAUAACUUCAUAGAGAGCAUCAUCUUUACCUCUCUCAGAAAAGGAGGAUAACAAGAUGAUAGUGAAGAUAAAAUAAAAAUGGAUUUCAAUGGUGGCUGCUUAAAAGGAGAUGUUGAAAGAUAAACUACUGGGCUUGGUAAUGCAACCUGUAAUAGGUUAAUACAACAAUAAUGUUUACCAAAGUAAGAAGACUCACCCGGGCCUGGUGAAAAGCUGUGAAAACCGCUCAUGUAAACAAAAAUCAGUUAACUUCUGGUCAGUCAGUUUUAAACUUACAUUGAUUGAUGAUGUUUUCUUUCUCUACACGUUUGAUAGGUAAACAAUAUAAGCCCUGAAAAAUUUAAUCGAGGGAGAUUGAAAAGACUAUCAUAUUCUUUGUUCGACAACCACAAGCUUUACUUAAUGGUCAAGUUAAUCCGGAAAGAUACAAACAGAAGAGUCAACAAAACACAAAUUCUGAGAAAUUUUGGUUACUUUUGGAUUGGAUCAGGAGAAUCAUGAUGAUGCAGAAAUCAACAAGCAAGGUGUAAAGGCUUACAUGUUAAACUGGUGUUUUUUCAAACAUAUUUUACUCUUAUCUUCACCAUUACCACCACCUUAUGCCCUUACCAGGCAACGAUACUCAGCGCAAGCCUUAUAACCUGUUUGCAUCUCUAAACUUGAAAUGGAAUUGCCUGAUAUUUCAGUAUCAAGUAUAUCACCCAAGCAUAUAGGAUGAAAUAAUCAUCUUUAUACUCUGCUUCUUCACCCUGAGAUAAUAUUCACCCAAAGCUAUUCAAAGAUUCCACUGGCAAGUAGAGUGUACAUUUGGAAGGAGGGGAAAAAAGCAUGAGAAUCAUAAUGGACAAUGUUGUUUAUUCAAAUACAAAUUUCCUGCUGUGAGGCCACACGUAAGGAAAACACGACGAGUUAACACGAACUUAGCUUUAUUAACGAGAACAGUAAUCGCGUGUCUAUUGAUGAAUACCGUAAUAGAAGAGGUAAAAUGUAACAAAUGAUCACAUUAUCAUCAUUGUUGAAAGUUCAAUGUAACACUGUGCGUUCAUUAAGCUGAUCAAGUUGACAAUAUAAUUGUGUCAAUGCAACCUUCAUGCCUUGAUUCCAUUGAAGAGUUAAUUAAUAUGUCUUUCUCUGAAAAUCUCUGAAAAGUGCAUACAGCUUAUUAUUAAAUUAAUCUACUAUUGUGCUAUUACAUUCAACUGAAAGCUUGGUCAAAGUAUCAAUUUGAUGGUAAAUAUUAUUAGAAAAAAAUGGACCCAUAAAUAGUA